This 1320-nucleotide ribosomal RNA is filed under the name Triticum aestivum (bread wheat). RNAcentral's name for it is "partial small subunit ribosomal RNA". Lineage: Eukaryota; Viridiplantae; Streptophyta; Magnoliopsida; Poales; Poaceae. The record is from RNAcentral.
AUGCCAAAAUCAUUGGGCAGCGACCAGAAAGAUUGGUCACUAUUUACUGGUGUCAAUAAUGAACUGAACCUCCAGACUACAGAUCAUGUCAGAAAUCAUGAGUCCACAGGACAAAGUGUGAAGACCUUCAGCUAUUCUCCAGAUAAUAGUUCAUCCAUACUCAACUUGUACAAAGAAUCUAAAUUUGUCGAUGCUGUUCACGUUCCUCAAAGUUGUUCCGAAAGUGUAGUCAGCUCUUCUGAUAUGUUCUCUAGCAAUGAAGUGAACUCUUCGUUUGGAACAGAUGAAAACCAUUCCAUUAAAUCAGGAAGCGACAAUAUUUUGGUUGAUUUCUACCAUAAGCUGAGAGAAGAAUCCAUGGCAAUGAUAUUCCGGUAUAAUAAGGAUAUUAAGGAGGCCCAGAAGAGUUCUGCACAUUCUGAUGGAAACAAAAAAGAGACAGCAAUUGAAAGGGAGAUCCAGGAAAUCUGGGAGAAACUACGAGAUUCUUCGCUGGCAGAAGGAUUUCGCAUUGAGGAACAGCCUUCGAGGGAUGAGAGUAUUUCUGGAUUGCUUAACAGUACCAAAGAGGAACACAUAAAGGAUUUUGAGCAGCACUAUCAUUUAGCAGAGAAAAUAGCACUGGCACAGCAUGACAUGAGUUUGGCAGUUGAACUUUACAAGCAUAGUGUGUCAACCCUACAUACCUUGGGACUAGCAUCCAAAGAGGAGCAAUGCGAUUAUGUCGUCGCAUGGUACAGUAUGUUUCUUUCCUGUGCUCAGGAACUGCAGCAUGGAGCAGUGCUUUGGCAAGAAUCUUGUCAUCUGAAAGUCCAUGAUCUAGUAAUUUCUGAAGGUGCAAAUUGGUUUGUUGCUCUUGGGGAGAUCUACAGAGUUGCACACCUCUUGCAUUUGUCAUUGCAGUAUUUCAAGCCUUGGGUUCUUGCGGAUCCCGGGAUGUUUAGUAAAAUGUUGGCUUGUUGGGACAGCUGCAUUAAUGCAUGGACUAGUGGUUUAGAAACAGCUCUUAAAACAGUUGUUGACAGCGAUCACUUAGCUGCACCCGCUGGUAAAGCUCUUCUGGAGUCCAUCGUCAGUAUUAAUGAACUUGAGCUGGCCAAUUUUGAACGUUGUCUUGCCAACAACGAGUUGACAUGCCGACUAACACUCCUGCCAACUGGUCUUUUACAAGGAGGGAAAGUGGUUGUGUGGAACGGUAAUCACUAUUUUGUUAAAGUUGCCAAUUUUUGGGCAAAUCGGGUAUCUUCCGAUCCUCCUCGGCUUUCACUCGUUCAUAUCUCUUCAAUGGACGGUACAAGCAAUAGCUGCCUGCCUUUUUGA